AGCAGCGUGGCUCAGUGGAAAGAGCACGAGCUUAGAAGUCGGAGGUCAUGGGUUCUAAUCCCAGCUCUGUCA
RNAcentral lists this transfer RNA (72 nucleotides) under Ornithorhynchus anatinus (platypus). It matches the Rfam family "tRNA". From Rfam's summary of the family: Transfer RNA (tRNA) molecules are approximately 80 nucleotides in length. Their secondary structure includes four short double-helical elements and three loops (D, anti-codon, and T loops). Lineage: Eukaryota; Metazoa; Chordata; Mammalia; Monotremata; Ornithorhynchidae. The record is from Rfam by way of RNAcentral.